CCUACGGGUGGCUGCAGUGAGGAAUAGUGGUCAAUGGACGAGAGUCUGAACCAGCCAAGUAGCGUGAAGGAUGACUGCCCUAUGGGUUGUAAACUUCUUUUAUAAAGGAAUAAAACGAGGCACGUGUGCCUUUUUGCAUGUACGGUAUGAAUAAGGAUCGGCGAACGCCGUGCCAGAAGCCGCGGUAAUACGGAGGAUCCGUGCGUUAUCCGGAUUAAUUGGGUUUAAAGGGAGCGGAGAUGGGUUGUUAAGUCAGUUGUGAAAGUUUGCGGCUCAACCGUAAAAUUGCAAUUGUUACUGGCAGUCUUGUGUACAGUUGCGGUCGGCGGCAUUCGUGUUGUAGCGG
Molecule: ribosomal RNA, 346 nt
Filed under: uncultured bacterium
Lineage: Bacteria
Description: partial 16S ribosomal RNA
Rfam family: Bacterial small subunit ribosomal RNA
Source: RNAcentral